CGCGUGUGUGAAGAAGGCCUUCGGGUUGUAAAGCACUUUCAGUUGUGAGGAAAAGUUAGUAGUUAAUACCUGCUAGCCGUGACGUUAACAACAGAAGAAGCACCGGCUAACUCCGUGCCAGCAGCCGCGGUAAUACGGAGGGUGCGAGCGUUAAUCGGAAUUACUGGGCGUAAAGCGCACGCAGGCGGUUUGUUAAGCUAGAUGUGAAAGCCCCGGGCUCAACCUGGGAUAGUCAUUUAGAACUGGCAGACUAGAGUCUUGGAGAGGGGAGUGGAAUUCCAGGUGUAGCGGUGAAAUGCGUAGAUAUCUGGAGGAACAUCAGUGGCGAAGGCGACUCCCUGGCCAAAGACUGACGCUCAUGUGCGAAAGUGUGGGUAGCGAACAGGAUUAGAUACCCUGGUAGUCCACACCGUAAACGCUGUCUACUAGCUGUUUGUGACUUUAAGUCGUGAGUAGCGAAGCUAACGCGCUAAGUAGACCGCCUGGGGAGUACGGCCGCAAGGUUAAAACUCAAAUGAAUUGACGGGGGCCCGCACAAGCGGUGGAGCAUGUGGUUUAAUUCGAUGCAACGCGAAGAACCUUACCUACACUUGACAUGCUGAGAACUUUCUAGAGAUAGAUUGGUGCCUUCGGGAACUCAGACACAGGUGCUGCAUGGCUGUCGUCAGCUCGUGUCGUGAGAUGUUGGGU
Molecule: ribosomal RNA, 690 nt
Filed under: Alteromonas australica
Lineage: Bacteria; Pseudomonadati; Pseudomonadota; Gammaproteobacteria; Alteromonadales; Alteromonadaceae
Description: bacterial SSU rRNA
Rfam family: Bacterial small subunit ribosomal RNA
Source: RNAcentral